AUGCAGAUUUUUGUAAAAUCCCUUGUGGGUAAGGGGUUCACUUUCAAGGUUGAACCCUUAGAUACAAUAGAAAAUGUAAAGGCCAAGAUCCAGGAUAGGGAAGGAAUUCCUCUUGAUCACUAAGACUCAUUCUCGCUGGCAAGCAAUUGGCUCAACAUUUAGAAGUCACUCUUCAUCUGGUGUUAAGUUUUCGUGGCAAUGCUAAGAGAAGGAAAAAGUAUUACACCAUUCCCAGAAAGAAUAAGCCUAAGACAAAGAAGGUUAAGCUGUCUGUCUUGAAAUACUAUAAGGGGGAUGACCAUGGCAAACUUACUCGCCUUCAUCAUUAAUGUCCUUCAGAUAAAUGUGGCGCUGGAGUUUUUAUGGCCAGCCUCUUUGAUAGACAUUAUUGUGGCAAAUGUUGUCUAACUUACUGCUUCAAUAAAACAGAAGACAAGUAAUUGUAUGAGUUAAUAAAAGACAUGAGCUAA
This is an RNA transcript of Nycticebus coucang (slow loris), 470 nucleotides long. It is a transcript of the gene named ubiquitin-40S ribosomal protein S27a-like, with no coding region annotated. The transcript has 2 exons. NCBI's taxonomy places the organism in Eukaryota, Metazoa, Chordata, Mammalia, Primates, Lorisidae. The record is from RefSeq and is a predicted model, not a curated record.